GCGAAUACCGGAGAAUGUUAUCACGGGAGACACACGGCGGGUGCUAACGUCCGUCGUGAAGAGGGAAACAACCCAGACCGCCAGCUAAGGUCCCAAAGUCAUGGUUAAGUGGGAAACGAUGUGGGAAGGCCCAGACAGCCAGGAUGUUGGCUUAGAAGCAGCCAUCAUUUAAAGAAAGCGUAAUAGCUCACUGGUCGAGUCGGCCUGCGCGGAAGAUGUAACGGGGCUAAACCAUGCACCGAAGCUGCGGCAGCGACACUGUGUGUUGUUGGGUA
Molecule: ribosomal RNA, 275 nt
Filed under: Salmonella enterica subsp. enterica serovar Colindale
Lineage: Bacteria; Pseudomonadati; Pseudomonadota; Gammaproteobacteria; Enterobacterales; Enterobacteriaceae
Description: partial 23S ribosomal RNA
Rfam family: Bacterial large subunit ribosomal RNA
Source: RNAcentral